This is a non-coding RNA of Podarcis lilfordi (Lilford's wall lizard), 71 nucleotides long. The record is from the annotation of a GenBank genome assembly. Lineage: Eukaryota; Metazoa; Chordata; Lepidosauria; Squamata; Lacertidae.
CCUGGGAUAGCUCAGUUGGUAGAGCAUGAGGCUCUUAAUUUCACGGUCGUGGGUUCAAGUCCUACUUAGGG